CCUACGAGAGGCUGCAGUGAGGAAUAUUUGUCAAUGGGCUUACGCCUGAACCAGCCAAGUCGCGUGAGGGAAGGCUGCCCUAUGGGUUGUAAACCUCUUUUGUCAGGGAGCAACGCCUGCUACGUGUAGCCGGACUGAGAGUACCUGAAGAAAAAGCAUCGGCUAACUCCGUGCCAGCAGCCGCGUGAAUACGGAGGAUGCGAGCGUUAUCCGGAUUGAGUGGGUUUAAAGGGUGCGUAGGCGGAAUGCCAAGUCAGCGGUAAAAUCGCGGGGCUCAACCGCGCUCCGCAGUUGAAACUGGCGUUCUUGAGUGGGCGAGAAGUAUGCGGAAUGCGUGGUGUAGCGGUGAAAUGCAUAGAUAUCACGCAGAACUCUGAUUGCGAAGGCAGCAUCCCGG
RNAcentral lists this ribosomal RNA (397 nucleotides) under uncultured bacterium. RNAcentral describes it as "partial 16S ribosomal RNA". It matches the Rfam family "Bacterial small subunit ribosomal RNA", at positions 338 to 732 of the family's 1533-position model. The record is from RNAcentral.